Cicer arietinum (chickpea) is the source of this 1679-nucleotide RNA transcript. It is a transcript of the gene named proline iminopeptidase, with no coding region annotated. NCBI's taxonomy places the organism in Eukaryota, Viridiplantae, Streptophyta, Magnoliopsida, Fabales, Fabaceae. The record is from RefSeq and is a predicted model, not a curated record.
AAGUAUAAGUCUAGAAAUGGUAAAAAGACGAAAUUGGAACAAAGUGGUCUACAAAUAUGUAAUAUUUACAUAUAUUGCCACUAGCCAAUCGAAAACCGAAAACCCAGUAGAUGAUCUCAAAGAAUGAAGUUGGGUUUGGGUCCAUUCUCAACAACUACUACUAAUACUGCAUUCUCAUAUUCUUCCCUAAUUUUCAUCCCUCCUAUCUCAAUUCCAUUUUCUCACCCCCAAAUAACUUCUUCAGGAGGGAGAAAAAGCUUUAUUUUUCGUGUGCAAAACAUUGAUCAUAAUAAAAUUGAGUCAAUACCUAGUACUACUUCUUUCAUGGCUUCACAACAGGGAAUUCCACAGGUUAACAGAAAUUUUUACCCACAUAUUGAACCCUAUAGUACUGGUUUUUUGAAUGUUUCAGAUCUUCAUACUAUCUACUGGGAGCAAUCAGGAAAUCCAAGUGGCCAUCCAGUUAUCUUCCUUCACGGAGGUCCUGGAGGGGGAACUUCCCCAAGUAAUAGAAGAUUUUUUGAUCCUGAAUUUUACCGAAUCAUACUUUUUGAUCAGCGAGGUGCGGGGAAAAGCACACCCCAUGCUAACUUAGAGCAUAACACCACAUGGGACCUCAUUGACGAUAUUGAAAAAUUAAGAGAACAUUUGGAGAUUCCAGAAUGGCAGGUAUUUGGUGGGUCAUGGGGAAGCACACUUGCCCUUGCAUACAGCCAAUCUCACCCGGACAAGGUUACUGGCAUGGUCCUCAGGGGAAUCUUCCUUUUAAGGAAGAAAGAAAUAGACUGGUUUUAUGAGGGUGGUGCUUCUGCAAUAUUCCCUGACGCUUGGGAGUCAUUCAGAGAUCUUAUUCCAGAAAAUGAAAGAGGAUGCUUCAUUGAUGCGUAUAAGAAGAGAUUAAACUCUGAUGAUAUUGAAACUCAGUAUGCAGCCGCUAGAGCAUGGACCAAAUGGGAAAUGAUGACUGCUCAUCUUCUUCCAAAUGAAGAUAACAUCAAAAGGGGAGACGAUGAUUACUUUUCACUGGCAUUUGCAAGGAUCGAAAACCACUAUUUUGUUAACAAGGGUUUCUUUCCAUCCGAUUCAUUCUUGCUAGAUGGAGUUGAUAAAAUAAGGCAUAUCAACACCACCAUUGUGCAGGGAAGAUACGAUUGUUGCUGUCCUAUGAUGUCAGCCUGGGAUCUUCAUAGAGCUUGGCCAGAGGCAGACUUUAGGGUGGUUCCAGAUGCAGGACAUUCAGCCAAUGAACCCAGCAUAGCUGCUGAACUUGUGGCUGCAAAUGAGAAAUUAAAAAACAUAAUCAAGAAUAAAGGGGAGUAACGCUGGAGACUAAUCAGAUUCACAAGUGCUGUUCGUAUUGCAGAAGUUGCCUUGAUAUGUGCACCAGAACUUUAAUGCUUGUGAUCGUCGAUUUGUGCUGCUCUUGGGCACAUGGAGACUCUGAAACUUUGGUUCCUUGGGAACAGUUAAAGCUCUUCUUCCUUGUGAACAAGAUGCAUCAUGUUUACGGAGCGUUGCCGUUUCAUUUGGUUUUACAGUCUCUGAAGGCUUUUCAAUAAUGACAUUAAGUUUACAAGCUGUUGCAAGAACUGCUUUAUCUUUCUUCCUGGACAAAACACUGCACGACACACUUUUAUUAUUAAAUAUACAAUUCCAUAGAUUGAGAUUAAGGCUUUAUU